AGUAUGUCUUAGAUCUUGGAUAGCUCAGAUUUUUUAAAUUUAAAGCUAGUCACAGAUGUAAUUCUCAACUAGCCAAAGUGAAGAAAGCCCAAUUUGGGACAACGUCUAAAAUAAGAAUUGCUAGAAACUUAUGUAUUAGGCAUCUGUUACUGGUUAUUUCCAAUUCUGACUUUUUAAAAUGUAGGGUUUUUUUUUUUUUUUAAACCAGUACACAUCUGGAGGCAUACACAUUGAAGCAAAUACAGCUGUGGUUAUUUACAUGAUUAAUCACAAUUCUGGCAAUGCAUUUAGUGUUUAAGGUAAAGUGUAUGCUUUAUAAGGCCAUCUACAUAUUGAAGGAUGGCAUUAGACAUGAGGUAUAUCAGAUAUCAUGGGUAUCAUUGUUUGGUUAUAUUUUGUCCUUUUCAAAACUAUUUCUGGAGUUAACCCUUUAAAACUGAGUGAUUAAAAUUGCUUGGUUGUCAGUGUAGUGUUAGAGUUGAAAAUUAAAACACAAUUCAGAGAUCCAAGAAGAUGUCAGCUAAACCCAGAGAUUACAAUAGUUACAGCUUUUUCAUGUUAUACAUUGAGUAGAGUUUGUAUGUAUUGUAACUUACAUAUAUUGUAACAUGUAUGUAUAGUAUAGAGAAUUUGUAAGUGUUGGACAUACUAUUUUGGGGCAUUAUACCCUAUCACAUAAGCUUUUUAUGUAAUAUAGUUAAGUACAUAAUCCAGGUUAAUACACUGUUUAAAAUAUCCAUCCAAAAUAGAUUCUGGUUUGUCAGUGUUAGCACUAUUUUUCUUAACAGUGCUCAUAUUAAUUUUAACUGCUUAAUAAGUUGUAAUAGAAAGGUUAUUUCUCAGAUUCCUCAUCUAUGAUAAUUGGAAGGGUGGUAUGCUAUUACGUAGACAUUAGUGCUUCUUACUGCUUAAGAUAAUGGUAUUAAGGCUACAAAGUUUAUCUAGAUUUAUCAGAUAAUUAACGAAGAAUUUGGCCAGCUCUUUCGUCUUUGUUUACUCAGUAGUGUCAUAACUAUGAAGUACUGUAUAGUAAUACGAAAGAACUAUAGAGGUAUUGUUAUGAAUCUUUUUUAUAUGUUCUACCUAAAAUGUUGCUCACAGUAUUCUUUUUCCCCCUCUUCAUGAGCCAGUUCCUUUUUCCUGGGACUUUAUCUCUACUUUUUCCUUUCCUUUCCCAGCCAUUAAAAUAGGGUGAGAUGGUUAUUAGACGAGGGAGAGAUGCUUUAUCUUUGUUGUAAAUGAUCAUCAGAGUUUAACUUUAUAAACUAAAAAAAUUGUACCAUUCUUAAAUAUUUUUCCCCUCUCUAAGUUAAAAGAAGUAAAGUCAACUUGAAGACAUCACUUAAUAACUAUUGAAAUAACAUUUUGAAUCAAAUCAUAAUUAGAUGAAAAAUUUUGUUUCUUAAAAGAUAGUUGCUUUAAAAGAUAAGGCUCUACAGUAUUUUUCAAAGACUUACAAGGUUAGCAGAAAAGUGUAAAAUAUUAUUUUAUAUUUCUGGCUUGAAUCUUUUGACACAUGAUUAUUUCCUUUUUAGGGACCAAUGCAGAUGGAAGCGACCUACUUAACAGUUUAGGAAGCUGGUUAUUUGGAAGUGGUUCAAGCUGAGUAGAAUCUGCUUGUUGUCUUAGAACCUUGAAACAGUUCUGUUGUGAUUUUGAGUUAUGUCACCCCCUUUACUCAAGAACAUAGUAUCUAGUCUUUAUUUAAAUUAUUUUUUUGUAACAUAAAACUCCAUUAGACAUCUUUAUAAAGACUCCUUAAAAUAACUAUCAAAUAGAUAAUUUCUAUUUCCAGGCUCAACCCACAUAGCAUAUUUAAAGCUUGAGAUUUGAGGUUAGAGAAUAGUGGUAAUACGUACGUACUUUCUCACCAUUCUAAACAAAAGCUGAAAUCUCAAUCUAAACCUCCCCUCUACCACUACCAAAGGGAGGAAGAAAAUCUAGAAAACUAAAAACUACAAUAUUCUUCUUUAUGCAUAUUUAUGUUUAUUCUUCCUUUAAAAAUAUAAAUUUUGUAUCAGUUGUAUUAGGCAGAUACUAGUGGUGGCUUACAGUUUGGUCUACUUUUAAAUAUUUGUAUAUAAGUUAUCCUUACGUUUUGCAGUUUUGAAUUUCACACUGGUAUCUUCCUGCCAUUCAACUUGCUUUAGGGUUGUUGGUGUUGUGUUUUGAAAGAUUGUGAAGUCGACCUUCUAAAAAUGAGUUCAAAGAAAAAUCAGUAAAGUAAAUAUCCUCCUGAAAUUGUAAGUUUCUUGGCAAGUAGAAUUUUUUGUAUUAACUUCUGUUUUAGGUUAUCUGCAAACUCAAGAAUUGAGAGAACUAGACAGCAUAAGCUCAGAUUUAAGGAAGAUACCAUUUUUCAUAGAUAUGGUUUUAGCUGUUUUUGAAUUGUGAGUGUUCAGUAGCAAGCUUUUCAAAGUUUUUGUAAUUGUGGAAAUAAUGUAUGAGAAAUAUUUAGACAGCAUCUGUUUCUAUUUUUAGACUGGGCUGGCUUAGAUGAAGAUGAAGAUGCACAUGUCUGGGAGGAUAAUUGGGAUGAUGACAAUGUAGAGGAUGACUUCUCUAAUCAGUUACGAGCUGAACUAGAGAAACAUGGUUAUAAGAUGGAGACUUCAUAGCAUCCAGAAGAAGUGUUGAAGUAACCUAAACUUGACCUGCUUAAUACAUUCUAGGGCAGAGAACCCAGGAUGGGACACUAAAAAAAUGUGUUUAUUUCAUUAUCUGCUUGGAUUUAUUUGUGUUUUUGUAACACAAAAAAUAAAUGUUUUGAUAU
RNAcentral lists this long non-coding RNA (2773 nucleotides) under Homo sapiens (human). Its description in RNAcentral is "non-protein coding lnc-DLX5-3:2". The record is from RNAcentral. Lineage: Eukaryota; Metazoa; Chordata; Mammalia; Primates; Hominidae.